Molecule: ribosomal RNA, 254 nt
Filed under: uncultured bacterium
Lineage: Bacteria
Description: partial 16S ribosomal RNA
Rfam family: Bacterial small subunit ribosomal RNA
Source: RNAcentral
UACGUAGGGUGCGAGCGUUGUCCGGAAUUAUUGGGCGUAAAGAGCUCGUAGGCGGUCUGUCGCGUCGAUCGUGAAAACUUGGGGCUUAACCCUGAGCUUGCGGUCGAUACGGGCAUGACUGGAGUUCGGCAGGGGAGACUGGAAUUCCUGGUGUAGCGGUGAAAUGCGCAGAUAUCAGGAGGAACACCGGUGGCGAAGGCGGCAUCCUGGACCGGUAUUGACGCUGAUGCGCGAAAGCCAGGGGAGCAAACGGG